RNAcentral lists this long non-coding RNA (248 nucleotides) under Gossypium barbadense (sea-island cotton). RNAcentral describes it as "long non-coding RNA (GBAR_LNC019928)". The record is from RNAcentral. Lineage: Eukaryota; Viridiplantae; Streptophyta; Magnoliopsida; Malvales; Malvaceae.
CCUAUGCCCGUAUUAAUCCCUAAACUCUAAGCUACUAUCUAAACCCUAAACCCUAAAAUAUAAAAUUUAAACCCUAAACCAUACGCCCUCUUAACCCAUAUACUCUAUGCCCGUAUUAAUCCUUAAACUCUAAGCUACUAGCUAAACCCUAAACAAUAAACAAUAAACACUAAACCAUAAACCCACACCCUACACCCUAAACCAUAAACACUAAAUCAUAAACUGCAUACUUUAAACCAUAAACCUAC